ACCUCCCCGGUCAGCAACAAGACCCAGGCCCUCGCACGGUCCUGGCUGUUCUUAUCAGUUUAAUAUCUGAUACGUCCCCUAUCUGGGGACCAGAUAUUAAAUUGAUUUUUGGAACAGGGAGAUGGAAUAGGGGCUUGCUCCAUCCACUCCACGCAUCGACCUGGUAUUGCAGUACCUCCAGGAACGGUGCACCCCUG
Coregonus clupeaformis (lake whitefish) is the source of this 197-nucleotide small nuclear RNA. RefSeq annotates it as U2 spliceosomal RNA. NCBI's taxonomy places the organism in Eukaryota, Metazoa, Chordata, Actinopteri, Salmoniformes, Salmonidae. The record is from RefSeq and is a predicted model, not a curated record. The transcript has a single exon.